This 3063-nucleotide long non-coding RNA is filed under the name Theobroma cacao (cacao). Its description in RNAcentral is "long non-coding RNA (TCAC_LNC001186)". Lineage: Eukaryota; Viridiplantae; Streptophyta; Magnoliopsida; Malvales; Malvaceae. The record is from RNAcentral.
AGCAUUCUGGCAAAAGUAAAGAGAUAGUAUUCGAGGAUCAAGAAUCGGAGUACUUGAAAUUCGACUCCCGAAAUAGUGAGUAACCUUACUAUCGUCUUAAUUAUCUAAAGUGGUUUUAUCCGAUUUUGUGAUUUUAUGGAAAAUGAGUUUAAAUGGUAAAUCUUUAUGUUUUAUAAGUAAAAUGGGAUUAAAUGAAAAUGAUUUUAUAAAAUUGUCUUGAAAUUGAAUGAUGGUUUGGAAAAUGGAGUAAUUAGAGACUAAUUGUUGUGUUAUAAAUCAUGGUUUGAAUUGAAUGGCUUAUGAUAAUAUUUGCAUGAAUGGCUGAAUUGGUUUUUGUGUUGAAAAUGUAUAAACUAUUAAUUUGCCUUGAGAGGAUGUAAAAUAAAAUAAUUGCCAUGUCAUGCUGUUGAAUUUUAUUGAAUUGGUGGGCUAUAUAUUGGUCGCUACAAUGGACGGGUUUCGUGGACCAGCCUAUUAGAGGGGCACAAUAACCCUAUUAUAUUCAUACGUCAGUAUGAGAGGCGCGGUUGGAUAACUCCUGAGGUUAAAACUUUAGAGUUUACUUCACACCAAAUCACCACGUGAGGGUGAACUCAGCCAACGCCAAGGAACGACUAUGUUUUCAAAAUAAAAACAUGAUUUAUGCGUACAUAACUUUUUAACAGCCUUGGCGGACUCGGUUGGGAUAGCCGUCGGCCAAGGUAUCCCUGAUAACUGAGUAUGAUAAUAAUUUUGUCACGACUCAGUACUCCCCUCGAGCUUGUGAUAAUCACCGCGACGUCUCGAUCGACACUCAUUACCUAGAAUGUCAACUGGAACCCUGUAAGGCUUUAAUAUCAACUUCUCAUUUCCCCUGUGAGUAACUGUUGCCAAAUACCACGUUCUAAAAGAUUUUAAACUGUUUCCAACUUAAAACAAACAAAAUAAUAAUUUUCGUCUCAUAGGGGUAUUUUGGUCAUUUUUUCCUAAAAAUUUCCAAACCAGCUGGAAUGUAAUAUAUAAGCACAAAACACAUAAUUUGAAAUUAAAAAUAAAUUUGGAUGUCUAAAACAUUCAUUUAAAAAGAAAUUAUGACUAUUAGAAUAAAAUUAAAAUAUAGAAUAAAAUAUUUAAUUUUCUAAUAAAACAAUAUUUUUAAGAACACUGCAUAAAUAAUUUUUAUAGCGUAAAAGCAAAAUAAAUUCCUACAUACAAUAGUACAGAUAACCAAAGUAUAAAAUUUAAUUUACAGUGACACGUGGGCCCACGAUGACUAAAAGUAUCAAAAGAAAUGAACCUAUAGUUUUUGGAUGUGGUAAGUCCAACUGUAGUCUUCAUCGAUAUCAGUUAUCUACAAUCUAUUCUGAGCCUAAAAUGGGUGGAAAGGAGGGUGGUGAGAUUAUGAAAUCCCAGUGAGUAAACAAACAUCAUUCAAAAUAUUUAAAGUCGAGCAAAAUGAGACUAUUAAAACAUUUCAUAAAACUGUAAUUUAUCACCUUUCAACUUAUUUCAACCAAAUGAAAUCAAUUUAUUUAAAUCAAGUAAUCAGUAUGGCUUAUGAAUUUCUUAAAAGCUUGGCUCAUGCCAAAAAUUAUUAUCAUACUCAGUUAUUUGGGAUACCUUGGCCGAGGGCUAUCCCAAUUGAGUCUGCCAAGGCUAUUAAAAAGUCAUGUUUUAUUUUGAAAACAUAGUCGUUCCUUGGCAUUGGCCGAGCUCCCUCUCACGUGGUGGUUUGGCGUGAAGUGAACUCUAAAAGUUAUACCUCGGGAGUUACCCUACUCGCCUCUCCAACCGAGGUAAAAUAUAACGGGGUUUACCGUGCCCUUCUAAUAGGCUAGUCCACGAAAAUUCGCCUACUGCAGUAAGCUAAUAAUUAUCCCACCAAUCAAUAAAAGUCAAUAACAUGAUAUGGCAAUUAUUAUAAUUCACAGCCAUUCAAGGCUAAAUACACAUUUCAUAUAUUUCAACACGAAUAUCAAUUCAGCCAUUCAUGCAAAUAUUGUUAUAAGCCAUUUGAUUCAAAUAAUAAAUUUUACAACAUAACAAGUGGUCUCCAAUUACUCUAUUUUUCAAAAUCAUUAUUCAAUUUCAAGACAAUUUAUAAAAUCUUUUCAUGUAAACACAUUUUGUUUGUAAAACACAAAGAUUUACCAUUUAAACUCAUUUUCAUAAAAUUUCACCAAAACCGAUUAAAAACAUACUUUAGAUAAUUAAAAUGAUGGUAAGGUUACUCACAGUACUAGGAGUUCGAUAUACUCCUAUUUUCGGUCUUCGAGCACAAUCUCUUUACCCUUGUUAGAGGGCUCACCACCUAUACAUCAUAAGUGACACGAAUUUCAAUAAAUUGUGUCAAUUUAUCAUAAACUAUUUCAGGCUCUAUAAAUCUGCAUGAAUGCACGAAAUGCGAUGCAAAAUGUCCGAAUAGCCAUUUAAAUACGGUAUUCGAUCUAAUUUGCACUAUUCUCGAUGUAAUUGGCUAAAACCUCCAAUUUAACUCCAAAUCAAUUUCUUUCACUUUCUACACUCCAAUUAUACCUAAAUUACCUCAGUGACUGUGAAUGAGAUUCAAUUUAUCAGUCCCAGGUCAAUAAUCACACAUGUCUAUACAUUAGGUAAAAAUUCAGAUUUUCACACCAAAAUUUCCCAUUUAAUUUCUAGCCUCACCAAACAUCAAAUAUCACCAAAAUAUCAUGAAAUAUCAUCAAUUUCAGCCACAAUAUCCUCCCUAGAAAAUUCGGCCAAUGAUGGUAAUGGGGGAAAAUGAAUUCUUUUCUUGUUGUUUUGUUUCUAAAUAUGCUAAACUAACUAAAAACACUAACAUAACUUAAAAUCAAAUCAAUCCAACAUCUUUCUCUCUCCAUACCCAUUUUGACCAGCCAUGAAUUCACCAUGAAAACAUGAAAUCUAACCAUAAAAAAUAAGGAGAAAUGCAUGGGAAAGGUAGAUCACAAGUCAAAAUCAAGAAAUUUUACCUUUGAUUGCUUGAUUCCUUGAAAUCCACUAAUUUUCCUUUGAAUUUUCCCACUUAGGGUUCUUGUUUUUCUUUUCUCCCUUUGUUAUUCCUUUGCUCUUGGUUUGGCCGGC